RNAcentral lists this long non-coding RNA (1041 nucleotides) under Sorghum bicolor (sorghum). Its description in RNAcentral is "long non-coding RNA (SBIC_LNC007089)". Lineage: Eukaryota; Viridiplantae; Streptophyta; Magnoliopsida; Poales; Poaceae. The record is from RNAcentral.
GGCCUUGUUUAGUCCAAAAAAUUUUGCAAAACAGGUACUGUAGCACUUUCGUUUGUAUUUGACAAAUAUUAUCCAAUCAUGUACUAACUAGGUUUAAAAGAUUCGUCUCGUCAAUUUCGACCAAACUGUGCAAUUAGUUUUUAUUUUUGUCUAUAUUUAAUAUUCUAUGCAUGCGUCUAAAGAUUCGAUGUGACGGAGAAUGUGAAAAAUUUUGCAAAAUUUUCUGGGAAGUAAACAAGGCCGAGAUGGAAAACGAAGGGACCAAUAUCGUCGUGCGCCCGGCCCUAGACGGCCCAAUAAGGCCUUGUUUAGAUGCGAAAUGUUUUUGGAUUUUGAUACUGUAGCACUUUCGUUUUUAUUUGACAAACAUUGUCCAAUCAUGAAGUAACUUGUCUUAAAAGAUUCGUAUCGCGAUUUACAAGCAAACUGUGCAAUUAGUUUUUAUUUGCAUCUAUAUUCAAUAUUCCAUGUAUGUGCCACAAGAUUUGAUGUGAUAGGAAAUCUUAAAAAGUUUUUAGUUUUUGGAUAAACUAAACAAGACCUAAGACAUCGACACAAGCUGAUCAGAAUCCAAAACGAAAAAUCCACUCAACUUUCGUACAAGUACAUUUUUUUCCCUAGAUUUUAAAAUCAGGCAAAACGUCUCACUUGACUUUUAAAAUCGUUUAUCUUACCUCUUUGACCCUGUUAUAAGCGGUUUUGAAGAUAGUUUUGUUUUUUUUCUUUUUAUUUAUUUCAGCUGAAUCUUUAAAAAAAAUCUAUAGUAAAUCACAGAAAAAUCAUAAAAUAAAAAUUUAAUUUUAUUAGACUCCACAUGAGUACAUCUACAUAGUGAAAUAUAAUAUGGUAUGGUUUAGUAUAAAAUUUUUGCUAUGGUUUAAAAUCUAUGUUUUUUAAUUAAAUGAAAUAAUCUAUAGCUGCAAUUUCUAUGGUUCAAUAGUGAAAUUUUUAUGAUGGUCUAAUUAUUGGAUGUUUAAAUUGUAGUAAAAAUUUUAUACUCAUUAGGUCAUAUAUAACUUUGUUAUAGAUUUUAUUUGUAUU